GAUGAACGCUGGCGGCGUGCCUAAUACAUGCAAGUCGAGCGAACAGACGAGGAGCUUGCUCCUCUGACGUUAGCGGCGGACGGGUGAGUAACACGUGGAUAACCUACCUAUAAGACUGGGAUAACUUCGGGAAACCGGAGCUAAUACCGGAUAAUAUAUUGAACCGCAUGGUUCAAUAGUGAAAGACGGUUUUGCUAUCACUUAUAGAUGGAUCCGCGCCGCAUUAGCUAGUUGGUAAGGUAACGGCUUACCAAGGCAACGAUGCGUAGCCGACCUGAGAGGGGGCUCGCCCACCAGGGACAGAGGACCGGCACCAACACCGAGAGGGAGACAAGAUCGGGAAUCCUCCGGGAGGGGGGAAAGGGUAACCGGGGAAACCCCGCGUAAGUAUUAAAGGUCUUCGGAUCGUAAAUGUUUUUUAUUAGAGAAGAAUAAAUGUUUAUUAAACUAGCAGAUUAUGAAUGUAACCUAAGAAAAAGCCCCGGCUAAAUCAGUG
Molecule: ribosomal RNA, 496 nt
Filed under: uncultured bacterium
Lineage: Bacteria
Description: partial 16S ribosomal RNA
Rfam family: Bacterial small subunit ribosomal RNA
Source: RNAcentral